RNAcentral lists this ribosomal RNA (858 nucleotides) under uncultured bacterium. RNAcentral describes it as "bacterial SSU rRNA". It matches the Rfam family "Bacterial small subunit ribosomal RNA", at positions 590 to 1448 of the family's 1533-position model. The record is from RNAcentral.
UGGAGUAAAAGGCUAUGGNUCAACCAUAGUGUGCUCUGGAAACUNUCUGACUUGAGUGCAGAAGGGGAGAGUGGAAUUCCAUGUGUAGCGGUGAAAUGCGUAGAUAUAUGGAGGAACACCAGUGGCGAAAGCGGCUCUCUGGUCUGUCACUGACGCUGAGGCUCGAAAGCGUGGGUAGCGAACAGGAUUAGAUACCCUGGUAGUNCACGCCGUAAACGAUGGGUGCUAGGUGUUAGGCCCNUUCCGGGGCUUAGUGCCGGAGCUAACGCAAUAAGCACUCCGCCUGGGGAGUACGACCGUAAGGUUGAAACUCAAAGGAAUUGACGGGGGCCCGCACAAGCGGUGGAGCAUGUGGUUUAAUUCGAAGCAACGCGAAGAACCUUACCAGGUCUUGACAUCCCGAUGCUAUUCUUAGAGAUAGGAAGUUACUUCGGUACAUCGGAGACAGGUGGUGCAUGGUUGUCGUCAGCUCGUGUCGCGAGAUGUUGGGUUAAGUCCCGCAACGAGCGCAACCCUUAUUGUUAGUUGCCAUCAUUAAGUUGGGCACUCUAGCGAGACUGCCGGUAAUAAACCGGAGGAAGGUGGGGAUGACGUCAAAUCAUCAUGCCCCUUAUGACCUGGGCUACACACGUGCUACAAUGGUCGGUACAACGAGUUGCGAGCCGGUGACGGCAAGCUAAUCUCUGAAAGCCGAUCUCAGUUCGGAUUGGAGGCUGCAACUCGCCUCCAUGAAGUCGGAAUCGCUAGUAAUCGCGGAUCAGCACGCCGCGGUGAAUACGUUCCCGGGCCUUGUACACACCGCCCGUCACACCACGAGAGUUUGUAACACCCGAAGUCGGUGAGGUAACCUUUUAGGGG